AUACGAAGGUGGCAAGCGUUACUCGGAAUUACUAGGCGUAAAGCGCGGGUAGGUGGUCUUGUAAGUCUGCUGUGUAAGCUCCCGGCUUAACUGGGAGAGGUCAGCGGAUACUGCAAGGCUCGAGUGUGGGAGAGGGUACUGGAAUUCCCGGAGUAGCGGUGAAAUGCGCAGAUAUCGGGAGGAACACCAAAGGCGAAAGCAGGUACCUGGACCACUACUGACACUGAGCCGCGAAAGCUAGGGGAGCAAACAGGAUUAGAUACCCCAGUAGUCC
This 274-nucleotide ribosomal RNA is filed under the name uncultured bacterium. RNAcentral's name for it is "partial 16S ribosomal RNA". It matches the Rfam family "Bacterial small subunit ribosomal RNA", at positions 523 to 796 of the family's 1533-position model. The record is from RNAcentral.